RNAcentral lists this ribosomal RNA (460 nucleotides) under uncultured bacterium. Its description in RNAcentral is "partial 16S ribosomal RNA". It matches the Rfam family "Bacterial small subunit ribosomal RNA", at positions 338 to 795 of the family's 1533-position model. The record is from RNAcentral.
CCUACGGGAGGCAGCAGUGAGGAAUAUUGGUCAAUGGACGAGAGUCUGAACCAGCCAAGUAGCGUGAAGGAUGACUGCCCUAUGGGUUGUAAACUUCUUUUAUAUGGGAAUAAAAUGAGCCACGCGUGCCCUUUUGUAUGUACCCUAUGAAUAAGGAUCGGCUAACUCCGUGCCAGCAGCCGCGGUAAUACGGAGGAUCCGGGCGUUAUCCGGAUUUAUUGGGUUUAAAGGGAGCGUAGGUGGAUUGUUAAGUCAGUUGUGAAAGUUUGCGGCUCAACCGUAAAAUUGCAGUUGAAACUGGCAGUCUGGAGUACAGUAGAGGUGGGCGGAAUUCGUGGUGUAGCGGUGAAAUGCUUAGAUAUCACGAAGAACUCCGAUUGCGAAGGCAGUUCACUGGACUGCAACUGACACUGAGGCUCGAAAGUGUGGGUAUCAAACAGGAUUAGAUACCCGAGUAGUC